GCACCCAUAGCUCAGCUGGAUAGAGCGCUGCCCUCCGAAGGCAGAGGUCAGAGGUUCGAAUCCUCUUGGGUGCA
RNAcentral lists this transfer RNA (74 nucleotides) under Hirschia baltica ATCC 49814. It matches the Rfam family "tRNA". Rfam says of the family: Transfer RNA (tRNA) molecules are approximately 80 nucleotides in length. Their secondary structure includes four short double-helical elements and three loops (D, anti-codon, and T loops). Further hydrogen bonds mediate the characteristic L-shaped molecular structure. tRNAs have two regions of fundamental functional importance: the anti-codon, which is responsible for specific mRNA codon recognition, and the 3' end, to which the tRNAs corresponding amino acid is attached (by aminoacyl-tRNA synthetases). tRNAs cope with the degeneracy of the genetic code in two manners: having more than one tRNA (with a specific anti-codon) for a particular amino acid; and 'wobble' base-pairing, i.e. permitting non-standard base-pairing at the 3rd anti-codon position. The record is from Rfam by way of RNAcentral. Lineage: Bacteria; Pseudomonadati; Pseudomonadota; Alphaproteobacteria; Hyphomonadales; Hyphomonadaceae.